CAAGGAGCCUCUUUGACAGCCGAGUGAUUUAAAGCAAUCAAAUUCCUUUAGCCUUAAAUCGUGCAGCUGUUUUACAAGCUCUUCC
Molecule: microRNA precursor, 85 nt
Filed under: Antrostomus carolinensis (chuck-will's-widow)
Lineage: Eukaryota; Metazoa; Chordata; Aves; Caprimulgiformes; Caprimulgidae
Description: Caprimulgus carolinensis (chuck-will's-widow) mir-1781 microRNA precursor family
Rfam family: mir-1781 microRNA precursor family
Source: Rfam by way of RNAcentral